Molecule: long non-coding RNA, 711 nt
Organism: Aquila chrysaetos chrysaetos
Lineage: Eukaryota; Metazoa; Chordata; Aves; Accipitriformes; Accipitridae
Exons: 2
Source: RefSeq, a predicted model, not a curated record
CUGGGAAGGAAACUAUUCCAAGGAGGAGAAUUUUCCCGCAUCCAAAUAUACAGCCAAAAGCACAGAGACAUUGUUCCUGAUAUAUGCUGUACCUGUUCUGGAAGCCUGUCCCUGCGACCUGCCCCAGCCCGUGGAGCCGACCCAGGGAUUUUAUGACUGCCAGGACAGCGAGGCUGGCAGAAACAGGUGGGCUCACAGCAGGGAGCAACAGUGAAAGCCCCACCACAAGUUCUGCUGGGAUUUUUUUAGGUGGCUAAACUAAAUCUAAUUAAACCAGAGCAUGUUUAAAUGAGCUUCAGUUAAUGUGCACUUUGUAUAACUCUUCUAUUUAAUAAUGGCAGCUCUCGUUUUUAUUAUUAGUGCUAUCGUUUUUCUGUCUUUCCUGAUAUUCCCAGGGAUUGAAUGGAUUAUUUAUCAGAAGCGUUGGGGUUGGGUUUAUAUUUCUAAAAUGCUGUUUUGGAACUGUCCUGUGAACUAGUCCUUGCUGUGCUCAGGAGGCACCGUGGAGACUCAGAGAUGAGAUGUAAAUCUGUGCUUUCAAGCUAAAACGAGACCAUAUUCCAUAGAGAAAGUGUUUUUCUUUUAAGGAGAAGGCAAAUAGAAAGCGGAAAAAAAUGCUAGUUUUUAAAUACAUUUGUAGCUUUUUGAAGGUACCGUCAUUAAAAAAAUUGUUUUUCACUAAUUGACAUAAAGAAGGCAUCAUGUAACUUG